GAUGAACGCUGGCGGCGUGCCUAAUACAUGCAAGUCGAGCGAACGGACGAGAAGCUUGCUUUUCUGAUGUUAGCGGCGGACGUGUGAGUAACACGUGGAUAACCUACCUAUAAGACUGGGAUAACUUCGGGAAACCGGAGCUAAUACCGGAUCAUAUUUUGAACCGCAUGGUUCAAAAGUGAAAGACGGUCUUGCUGUCACCUAUAGAUGGAUCCGCGCUGCAUUGGCUAGUUGGUAAGGUCACGGGGUCCCACGGCAACGAUGCAUAGCCGACCGGAGCGGGUGAUCGGCCACACGGGAACAGAGAGAGGGUCGAGACGCGUGGGGGAGGCAGCAGUAGGGAAUCUUCCGCGAUGGGCGAGAGCGUGAGGGAGCAACGCGGGGUGAGUGAUGAAGGUGUGCGGAUCGGAAAACGCUGUUAUUAGGGAAGAACAUAUGUGUAAGUAACUGGGAAGAUCGUGACGGUACCUAAUCAGAAAGCCACGGCUAACUACGUG
RNAcentral lists this ribosomal RNA (497 nucleotides) under uncultured bacterium. Its description in RNAcentral is "partial 16S ribosomal RNA". It matches the Rfam family "Bacterial small subunit ribosomal RNA", at positions 28 to 507 of the family's 1533-position model. The record is from RNAcentral.